RNAcentral lists this ribosomal RNA (269 nucleotides) under uncultured prokaryote. Its description in RNAcentral is "partial 16S ribosomal RNA". It matches the Rfam family "Bacterial small subunit ribosomal RNA", at positions 524 to 792 of the family's 1533-position model. The record is from RNAcentral.
UACGUUGGGGGCAAGCGUUAUCCGGAUUUACUGGGUGUAAAGGGAGCGUAGACGGUGAUGUAAGUCAGAUGUGAAAGCCCGGGGCUCAACCCCGGGACUGCAUUUGAAACUAUGUUGCUAGAGUGCAGGAGAGGUAAGUGGAAUUCCUAGUGUAGCGGUGAAAUGCGUAGAUAUUAGGAGGAACAUCAGUGGCGAAGGCGGCUUACUGGACUGUAACUGACACUGAGGCUCGAAAGCGUGGGGAGCGAACAGGAUUAGAUACCCUGGUA